RNAcentral lists this small RNA (85 nucleotides) under Flavobacterium sp. A45. RNAcentral describes it as "Flavo-1 RNA". It matches the Rfam family "Flavo-1 RNA". The record is from Rfam by way of RNAcentral. Lineage: Bacteria; Pseudomonadati; Bacteroidota; Flavobacteriia; Flavobacteriales; Flavobacteriaceae.
ACUUACCCCAGAUGGAAGCGGCAUCCUUUUUUUGUCUCUUUUUUCUAAGAGACAAAAAAAGAUAUAGCGGACAGCUGGAAUAGGU